UACGUAGGCAGCGAGCGUUGUUCGGAGUUACUGGGCGUAAAGAGUGCGUAGGCGGUCCUCUAAGUUUGGUGUGAAAUCUCCCGGCUUAACCGGGAGGGUGCGCCGAAAACUGGAGGGCUUGAGUAUGGGAGAGGUAAGCGGAAUUCCUGGUGUAGCGGUGAAAUGCGUAGAUAUCAGGAGGAACACCUGCGGUGUAGACGGCUUACUGGACCAUCACUGACGCUGAGGCACGAAAGCGUGGGUAG
Molecule: ribosomal RNA, 245 nt
Filed under: uncultured bacterium
Lineage: Bacteria
Description: partial 16S ribosomal RNA
Rfam family: Bacterial small subunit ribosomal RNA
Source: RNAcentral